GACGAACGCUGGCGGCGUGCUUAACACAUGCCAGUCGAACGGAAAGGCCCUGCUUUUGUGGGGUGCUCGAGUGGCGAACGGGUGAGUAACACGUGAGUAACCUGCCCUUGACUUUGGGAUAACUUCAGGAAACUGGGGCUAAUACCGGAUAGGAGCUCCUGCUGCAUGGUGGGGGUUGGAAAGUUUCGGCGGUUGGGGAUGGACUCGCGGCUUAUCAGCUUGUUGGUGGGGUAGUGGCUUACCAAGGCUUUGACGGGUAGCCGGCCUGAGAGGGUGACCGGCCACAUUGGGACUGAGAUACGGCGCAGACUCCUACGGGAGGCAGCAGUGGGGAAUAUUGCACAAUGGGCGGAAGCCUGAUGCAGCAACGCCGCGUGCGGGGUGACGGCCUUCGGGUUGUAAACCGCUUUCGCCUGUGACGAAGCGUGAGUGACGGUAAUGGGUAAAGAAGCACCGGCUAACUACGUG
Molecule: ribosomal RNA, 468 nt
Filed under: uncultured bacterium
Lineage: Bacteria
Description: partial 16S ribosomal RNA
Rfam family: Bacterial small subunit ribosomal RNA
Source: RNAcentral